AUAUACAAAUAUUAUCAUUUCAGUAUGUAGUCAAUAUUAAAAUAUGUUAAUGUGAAAUUUUAUAUUCUUCUCUUUGAACUAUGUCUUUGAAAUCUGCGGUAUAUUUCACACUUAUAACAAAUCUCAGAUCAGACUAGCCACACUUCAAGUCCUCCAUAGCCACAUGAGUUGGUGGCAAACAUAAUGGACGGCAAAAGUUUAGACCCUCAGCACUGUGGAGGCCCUGGCUAAGAAGUCAUGGCUUCAAUCUGAAAGAGUGGGCAUCCCCUGAAGAGAUUCAAGCCAGGAAGAAACAUGAUAAAAAUUUCAUUUUAGGAAGAUCACUCUGACUUCUACUUAAAGUACAGACUAAACAGGAGUUGAGACUAGAGUUGGAGAGAUCAGUGAGGAGAAGUUGAAGUAAUCCAAAUGUUAGAUAAAAGAUGUCAGCGAUGGAUUUUAGCAGUGGCAGCAGGGAUACCGAGAAGCAGCUGAAGUCAAGAGAUGCUUAGAAGGCGGUAGUAACACACCUAAUCAUCAUUGUUGCCCCCCUACGCACACACACACUGAAGCUACUUCCCACCUGCACACCUUUGUGCAUCUCCUCUCCACCAGUGGAAGCGGAAGUAGUUAGAGGGCAAGAAGCCCACUUCCAGGGUUACUUCCGGCCUUUCUAGCCGGGCAGAGGCCAAGUCGUCUCCUUUGCACGUCGCCUGCAUUGCGGGCUGACCCCUUUUCGGUAGGAGUCCUGCUCUCGGCAAAGGUUCUGUUUUCCUCUGGUGGAGGCUGGGAGCUGCAUCUCCGUCUUCCAACCAGUGGAUUUCGCUGUCAUUUAUCUCUGAUCGGUAAAGUCAGACCCUCCUCCGGGCCGGCAGAGGGCGCGAGAGCUCGUGGCUCGAAACUUAGGAGACUCUUGGACGCGGAAGUGAUGUUGCGCCACCGGAAAUCCUCCGCCUCAGAGUUUGAGGGGCGUGCUGGGGGAGGUUCCGGCGGCUGGAAGUUCAGUGUUCGAGGUUCCGCGAGGCAGUGGUUAAAAGUACCGUUGCCACCCCUGAUUGUCUUGGAUGCUCAAAUGAGAAAACAGCUCUUAGAGGAAGAGUUCGCUCAUAUUCAUUCAGUUGUGUCAUGCUUCUGCUCCAGAAUUAUAUUGGGUUCCCUACUGCCUACAGAAUUAAGUUCAAACUGCUGGCUCUGUUAUCUAAGGCCCUGUAUGAGUACACUGCACUGUGAGUUCCUCGAAGACUCACAAGGACUCCACCUGCAUCACCACAUCUACCAUAGGACAUGGCCGCAGUAGAUAUUGUCAGAAUUGAGUUGAAUCAUCGGACACCCAGCUGGUGGUAGAGAAUUGCUGGGUGAAGUGGAAAAAACUCAUUGUACCAGGCUUACCCAGAAGAUGCUCAAAGGUGUGCAGGAGACCACGGGAGACCCCAAGAACACCCCACACCUGGCUGACCAGGCCCUUUGCGCUGCAGAGGAGGCGGACACAGCUGGAAGGGACAGGAUUUAUGUUGCAC
Molecule: long non-coding RNA, 1496 nt
Organism: Pteropus alecto (black flying fox)
Lineage: Eukaryota; Metazoa; Chordata; Mammalia; Chiroptera; Pteropodidae
Exons: 4
Source: RefSeq, a predicted model, not a curated record